This 439-nucleotide ribosomal RNA is filed under the name Escherichia coli. RNAcentral describes it as "bacterial LSU rRNA". It matches the Rfam family "Bacterial large subunit ribosomal RNA", at positions 2510 to 2925 of the family's 2925-position model. Lineage: Bacteria; Pseudomonadati; Pseudomonadota; Gammaproteobacteria; Enterobacterales; Enterobacteriaceae. The record is from RNAcentral.
GGCGGUGUUUGGCACCUCGAUGUCGGCUCAUCACAUCCUGGGGCUGAAGUAGGUCCCAAGGGUAUGGCUGUUCGCCAUUUAAAGUGGUACGCGAGCUGGGUUUAGAACGUCGUGAGACAGUUCGGUCCCUAUCUGCCGUGGGCGCUGGAGAAGUGAGGGGGGCUGCUCCUAGUACGAGAGGACCGGAGUGGACGCAUCACUGGUGUUCGGGUUGUCAUGCCAAUGGCACUGCCCGGUAGCUAAAUGCGGAAGAGAUAAGUGCUGAAAGCAUCUAAGCACGAAACUUGCCCCGAGAUGAGUUCUCCCUGACUCCUUGAGAGUCCUGAAGGAACGUUGAAGACGACGACGUUGAUAGGCCGGGUGUGUAAGCGCAGCGAUGCGUUGAGCUAACCGGUACUAAUGAACCGUGAGGCUUAACCUUACAACGCCGAAGGUGUUU